RNAcentral lists this transfer RNA (72 nucleotides) under Richelia sp. SL_2_1. RNAcentral describes it as "tRNA-Asn". It matches the Rfam family "tRNA". From Rfam's summary of the family: Transfer RNA (tRNA) molecules are approximately 80 nucleotides in length. Their secondary structure includes four short double-helical elements and three loops (D, anti-codon, and T loops). Lineage: Bacteria; Bacillati; Cyanobacteriota; Cyanophyceae; Nostocales; Nostocaceae. The record is from RNAcentral.
AGCUAGGUAGUUUAAAGGUAAAAUAAUGGCCUGUUAAGCCAUCAGACGCCAGUUCGACCCUAGCCCUAGCUG